UAGAGAUGGGAUUUCACUGUGUUAGCCAGGAUGGUCUUGAUCUCCUGACCUCGUGAUCUGCCUGCCUUGGCCUCCCAAAGUGCUGAGAUUACAGAGGCAUAGAGUAAAAAGUGAAUGAGAAUGGUCUUCUUAUAUAAUGGAGGGAUGGAAGAAGAUACUUAGAAAAAUCAGGGAAGAGUGAAGAAGAUACUUCGAAAAAUCAGGGAAGAUUUUCAUCAUAAGGUCCAAGCAAAGGCAUGAGUAUAAGAUAUUCCUGAGUCUGAGUCUACUGACAAAUAUACCACAUCCCCAGAGUAACUUGGAGUCUCUUAAAAUUGUCUUGCUGGCAUCUAGCGGAGAUUGUCCCCAUAAGCAUGUUCCUUAUGAUGGAUGCCUGGGUCA
This 381-nucleotide long non-coding RNA is filed under the name Pongo abelii (Sumatran orangutan). Its description in RNAcentral is "lincRNA". The record is from RNAcentral. Lineage: Eukaryota; Metazoa; Chordata; Mammalia; Primates; Hominidae.